AACAAACAGGCCAAGUUAAGACCCAUUACAGUAAAAAAGGAGGUUAGAAAAAUCUACCGAAAGAAAAAUUACAUUUUUUUAAAAAGUAAAAUUUAUACAAAAAAUUUAAUCUACUAUUUUCUUAUUUUUGACGCCUCGAAAUUUUGGCAAAAAACUGGGAUUAGAUACCCCACUAUUCAAAAUAUAAACUUCAUUAUUACUUACUUGAGAAUUACGAGCACGUUGAUAUUACUUUGCGUUUCAACUUCCCCCGCUUAAAACUCAAAAAACUUGGCGGUGCCUUAAAUCCUUCUAGGGGAACCUGUCCUAUAACUGAUAAUCCACAUUUUACCUUUCCUUAUUUUGUAUACCAUUUUAAAAAUGAAACAGCCUGUAUACCGUCGUCGCCAGACUACCUACAAAAGAUUACCAGUAGUCUCCCCAAUUAAAUAAAAUAAAUAUACCAGUCAUCUGAGUAGUUUUUUAUUAUUUCCCACGUCAGAUCAAGGUGCAGCUUAUAAUAAGGCAGAGAUGGGUUACAAUAGUGACUCACUAAACGAAUUUCUUGUUGCAAUACAGGACUUGAAGGCGGACUUAGAAGUAAUUUACUGAAUAGAGAGCUUUUUUGAAUAUGGUACUAAGGUGUGU
Molecule: ribosomal RNA, 627 nt
Filed under: Dillwynella sp. SW-2012-1
Lineage: Eukaryota; Metazoa; Mollusca; Gastropoda; Trochida; Skeneidae
Description: partial 12S ribosomal RNA
Source: RNAcentral